This 301-nucleotide ribosomal RNA is filed under the name uncultured bacterium. RNAcentral describes it as "partial 16S ribosomal RNA". It matches the Rfam family "Bacterial small subunit ribosomal RNA", at positions 509 to 809 of the family's 1533-position model. The record is from RNAcentral.
CAGUAGCCGCGGUAAUACAGAGGGUGCGAGCGUUAAUCGGAUUUACUGGGCGUAAAGCGUGCGUAGGCGGCUUCUUAAGUCGGAUGUGAAAUCCCUGAGCUUAACUUAGGAAUUGCAUUCGAUACUGGGAAGCUAGAGUAUGGGAGAGGAUGGUAGAAUUCCAGGUGUAGCGGUGAAAUGCGUAGAGAUCUGGAGGAAUACCGAUGGCGAAGGCAGCCAUCUGGCCUAAUACUGACGCUAAGGUACGAAAGCAUGGGGAGCAAACAGGAUUAGAUACCCCGAUAGUCCCUGUCUCUUAUAA